AGCUCCAAUAGCGUAUAUUAAAGUUGUUGCAGUUAAAAAGCUCGUAGUUGGAUUUCUGGUUGGGCUGGUGGGUCUGCUCUUUGAGUAUGCACCUAUCCAGUUUGACCAUCCUUUGGGAGAACCAUAGUGGCAUUAAGUUGUUGGUGUGGAUAUCCCAAUCUUUUACUGUGAAGAAAUUAGAGUGUUCAAAGCAGGCUUACGCCGUUGAAUAUAUUAGCAUGGAAUAAUGACAUAGGACUAUUGUACUAUUUUGUUGGUUUGUGCGCAAUAGUAAUGAUUAACAGGGACAGUUGGGGGUAUUUGUAUUCCAUUGUCAGAGGUGAAAUUCUUGGAUUUCUGGAAGACAAACUACUGCGAAAGCAUUUACCAAAGAUGUUUUCAUUA
RNAcentral lists this ribosomal RNA (384 nucleotides) under Corethron sp. RNAcentral's name for it is "SSU rRNA". It matches the Rfam family "Eukaryotic small subunit ribosomal RNA", at positions 587 to 975 of the family's 1831-position model. The record is from RNAcentral. Lineage: Eukaryota; Bacillariophyta; Corethrophyceae; Corethrales; Corethraceae.